RNAcentral lists this long non-coding RNA (406 nucleotides) under Equus asinus (donkey). Its description in RNAcentral is "lncRNA (ENSEASG00005027687.1)". Lineage: Eukaryota; Metazoa; Chordata; Mammalia; Perissodactyla; Equidae. The record is from RNAcentral.
GCCUGUCGCGGGCUCCAGGACAACUGGGCCGCCAGCCGGAAGCUCAGGACCAACCGGACCAUCGUCGGAGGUGUCCGGGACCGCCAGACCAUCGUCUGGAGCGACUGAGACACCUGGACCAUCACCCGGAGGAUCCGGAACCACUGGAGCGGCAGCUGGCCGAGGGGCGACAACAGGGCCGGGGGCCGGGGUAUCGGCGACCACAGGGCCAGCAGCUGAGGGAUCAGGAAGCACCGCUGCGCCUGUCGCGGGCUCCAGGACAACUGGGCCGCCAGCCGGAAGGUCAGGAACAAGUGGGCCAACGGCUGGGGUCACAGGGGCAACCGGACCAGCCACGGCCGCGUCGCCGACCGCAGGACCACCCGCUGAAGGGUCAGUGACAACGGGACCGGCAGCUGGAGGGUCA